AUCUCCAUGAAGGUGAACCCACGCUCCCAGACACUGCCUGGCAGGAGGUAAGAUCCCAUCCUUAUUCGUUGGGUGAGUGAAUGAAUGGAGGUGGAGAAGGGAAGCCUUAGUUAUAGAAAUCGUCCAGGAAGUUCCCCCAGACCCAGGAGUUACACUUCUUGAAUCCCGACAUUCUGUAACUCCAAAGACCGUCGGAGUAGAAAAAAACCCAGGGAACUUAGUUAGACACCAGUGGGUGUGAAGCACUUUGCCGUGUCCCCAGCCACCCCCCUUGGAUGACCUUGGGGAAGUCACCUGGUCUCUCCUCCUCAGCCCUGCACGCCCUUUCUUCUCUCUUUCCCGUCUCCUUCCUUGUUUUCUCGGUUCCCUGUUUUUGUCCCUGCCUCUGCCUAAAACUCAUCAGUGGCCCCCGUGGCACUUAGCUUUCCGCUAAGUGACUUAGGUGAGGGCGGCACAGGGGUUGGGGGGGCGGUGGUUACUUUUCCGAAACACUGUCUUUUUCUUUUCUUUUUAAGUUUAUUUAUGUAUUUUGAGAGAGAGCGAGCACGAGGAGGGGAGGGGCAGAGAGAGAGAGACAGAAAAUCCCAAGCAGAUUCCCAGCCGUCAGUGGAGAGCCCGACGUGGGUCUUGAUCUCACAGUUGGGAGAUCGUGACCUGAGCCGAAAUCAACAGGUGGCCACCUAACCGACCGAGCCAGCCACCCAGGCACCCCUGAAAUGUUGUCUAUUUCUUAAGGACUUGAAACAUGGAAUCGGAUGGCACUUUUGCCGGCUGACACAGGGGCCUGGGGGUGUAUUUCCAACAGCGAUUGCUUGGUUUUAUUUUGUUUACUGCUGGGUCUCCCGGGGUCAGAUUAACCACACUUCUAGAAAGACAGGGACUUUGCCUGAAUUUCUGAGGCAAUCCUUCCCCCACAGAAAACGGAGACUUUGAUUAAAAUGACCCGAUUGCCUGCUUGUAGCUUCCUUCCGUGUUCCAGAAUAUGAUAGGCAUACAGCGUUUCUUCUUUCUAAUUGCCCCUUAAUUCACUUUUAGUUUUUUUCCUAUGUAGGCAAUUCGAAGGAGAGGCCCGUGCAGCUUUGCACGAUAAUGUAUUAGAAAGGCAUUUUCAAGGAAUCCGUUGUUAGCAUUGUUUGUACGCACGGUUCAAAUUUACUGGCAAAGUGCGCGGGCCUCGGGUUUACGAGGUAGCGGUCUGCCAGGCUCCUUCCGGGAGAAACCCUGAAAUGGGAGAAGUGCCCUUUUGGUUUCCCUCACCCACGCGUCCUUUGCCUUCUUCCUCUCCUUUCAACACCUCCCUCCGUUCCCGGCCCUACAGAACUCUGUGGAACAGCCGGGCCUUUUACACCUUAACGUGAAGACAUUUUAUGGGUUCUCCCCCACCCCGGCUCCAGGCCGGGCCCCCAUGGAAGCGAGGUGUGCAAAGGAAUAAAUCUUCAAUGGUAUAAUUUUAGACCGUGUGGCAACUGGGAAGGGCGGCUAUUUUGGGCUGCGGGGCUUUCUCCUUGACCUGAGAUGGUAUUACUUUUCCUGCCAGGGGUGCGCUCGGCCAGGCCCGCACGCGGUCCUCUGAGCCACGUGCCUGCCAUUGCCGGGGGGUGCUGUGCCCCUCCAGAGUUCUGGGCAUCUGUGCAAGCGCCUGAAUCUGUCCACGUGCACCCACCUAGGUGGCAUUUCGAGGUGGUGGCUCAGGCGACCCUUGGGGGCAGCGUCGGUGGGAGACGCUCCCUUCCACUCAGUGAGCGGGGACGUGUCCCGGUCCGGUGUUUGCCCCAUCCCUCAGCCUCCAUUGCUCAACCAGCAGCUCGGUGACCGUUCUGGGCGUCACCCCCUCUCUGAGCAAGGUGACUGGGCGGUCUCUGCACCCCUCCUAGGAGGUCUCAUUUGGAGCUGCACUUGGGGCGUCCUCACAGCGACCCUGACCCCCUGCCCCGCCCGCUGUCUUCCCACUCAAGCUCCUGAUCAGCUGCAGCCUGCACACCCGUGUCCUGGCUGGGGAAAGCGAGUCAGGACUCCCCCGCAGCAGGUGGGCGGGACAGCGACCGGAAGAUCGGAGGGUGGCCCGAACAACGGUGCUUUCCAGAAGAGGCUAGACAAUAUCAUCACUGGGAGAGUAUGUCGUUCACAGUUGUGGUCGUUGAUGUUUGUUUUUGUUUUGUUUUUUGAAAGAGAGAGCGAGCAUGAGUGGGAGGAGGGGGAGAGAAAGAGAGAGAGAGAGAGAGGGAGAAUCCCAAGCGGGCUCCGUGCGGAGCUGGGUGCCCCACUCAGGGUUCAAGCUCACGACUGUGAGAUCAUGACCUGAGCCGAGAUCGAGAGUUAGAAGCCCCCAGGGGGCACCUGGGUGGCUCAGUCGGUUAGGCGUCUGACUCGAGAUUUUGGCUCAGGUCAUGAUCUGCACAGGGUGUGAGUUCGAGGCCCGCAUCAGUCUCUGUGCUGACAGCCCCGUGCCUACUUGGGAUUCUGUCUGCCUCUCUCUCUGCCCCUCCCCUGCUUGCUUCCUAUAUCUCUAUCGAAAUAAAUAAAAAUAAACUUAAAAAAAAGAGUCAGAGGCUCAACUGACUGAGCCCCCAGGCACCCCUUGUUCAUAGUUUUUACAACCCAAAAAGUAUGCCCGAGGCCCAGAGAUCCUUCAGGAAGGAGGGAUAGUAUCAGCAAAGGACAACAAAAAUGGGAACGGUUAUUUUUUAAAGGAUCUGAGCUUAUGUAUGCCAAAAAAGAGAAAACAGAAGCCUUCUAUAGGUAUAAGAGAAUGUGGUGCUCUCUUCCACAAGUCCCCUGGCCAUUAAAAAAAAAAGGGGAUUUGGGGCGCCUGGGUGGCUGUCGGUUGAACGUCCGGCUUCGGCUCAAGUCAUGAUCUCACGGCCCGUGAGUUCAAGCCCCGCGUUGAGCUCUGUGCUGACAGCUCAGAG
This 2909-nucleotide long non-coding RNA is filed under the name Lynx pardinus (Iberian lynx). Lineage: Eukaryota; Metazoa; Chordata; Mammalia; Carnivora; Felidae. The record is from RNAcentral.